This 468-nucleotide ribosomal RNA is filed under the name uncultured bacterium. RNAcentral describes it as "partial 16S ribosomal RNA". It matches the Rfam family "Bacterial small subunit ribosomal RNA", at positions 28 to 507 of the family's 1533-position model. The record is from RNAcentral.
GACGAACGCUGGCGGCGUGCUUAACACAUGCAAGUCGAACGGAAAGGCCCUGCUUUUGUGGGGUGCUCGAGUGGCGAACGGGUGAGUAACACGUGAGUAACCUGCCCUUGACUUUGGGAUAACUUCAGGAGACUGGGGCUAAUACCGGAUAGGAGCUCCUGCUGCAUGGUGGGGGUUGGAAAGUUUCGGCGGUUGGGGAUGGACUCGCGGCUUAUCAGCUUGUUGGUGGGGUAGUGGCUUACCAAGGCUUUGACGGGUAGCCGGCCUGAGAGGGUGACCGGCCACAUGGGGACUAAGAUACGGCCCAGACUCCUACGGGAGGCAGCAGUGGGGAAUAUGGCACAAUGGGCGGAAGCCUGAUGCAGCAACGCCGCGUGCGGGAUGACGGCCUUCGGGUUGUAAACCGCUUUCGCCUGUGACGAAGCGUGAGUGACGGUAAUGGGUAAAGAAGCACCGGCUAACUACGUG